RNAcentral lists this ribosomal RNA (466 nucleotides) under uncultured bacterium. Its description in RNAcentral is "bacterial SSU rRNA". It matches the Rfam family "Bacterial small subunit ribosomal RNA", at positions 28 to 507 of the family's 1533-position model. The record is from RNAcentral.
GACGAACGCUGGCGGCGCGCCUAACACAUGCAAGUCGAACGGAGCUUAGAGAGCUUGCUUUUUAAGCUUAGUGGCGAACGGGUGAGUAACGCGUGAGUAACCUGCCCUGGAGUGGGGGACAACAGUUGGAAACGACUGCUAAUACCGCAUAAGCCCACGGUACCGCAUGGUACUGAGGGAAAAGGAUUUAUUCGCUUUAGGAUGGACUCGCGUCCAAUUAGCUAGUUGGUGAGGUAACGGCCCACCAAGGCGACGAUUGGUAGCCGGACUGAGAGGUUGAACGGCCACAUUGGGACUGAGACACGGCCCAGACUCCUACGGGAGGCAGCAGUGGGGGAUAUUGCACAAUGGGGGAAACCCUGAUGCAGCGACGCCGCGUGGAGGAAGAAGGUUUUCGGAUUGUAAACUCCUGUCGUUAGGGACGAUAAUGACGGUACCUAACAAGAAAGCACCGGCUAACUACGUG